This 551-nucleotide ribosomal RNA is filed under the name uncultured archaeon. RNAcentral's name for it is "bacterial SSU rRNA". It matches the Rfam family "Archaeal small subunit ribosomal RNA", at positions 326 to 877 of the family's 1478-position model. The record is from RNAcentral.
CGGGGUGCAGCAGGCGCGAAAACUUUACAAUGCUGGCAACAGCGAUAAGGGGACCUUGAGUGCCAGGAUACAAUCCUGGCUGUCGUGAUGCCUAAAAAGCAUUAUAUAGCAAGGGCCGGGCAAGACCGGUGCCAGCCGCCGCGGUAACACCGGCGGCUCGAGUGGUAACCGCUAUUAUUGGGUCUAAAGGGUCUGUAGCCGGCUUGGUUAGUCUCUUGGGAAAUCCGGCAGCUUAACUGUCGGGCUUUCAGGAGAUACUGCCAGGCUCGAGACCGGGAGAGGUGAGAGGUACUUCAUGGGUAGGGGUGAAAUCUUGUAAUCCUUGAAGGACCACCAGUGGCGAAGGCGUCUCACCAGAACGGAUCUGACGGCAAGGGACGAAAGCUAGGGGCACGAACCGGAUUAGAUACCCGGGUAGUCCUAGCCGUAAACGAUACUCGCUAGGUGUCGGCCACGGUGCGACCGUGGUCGGUGCCGUAGGGAAGCCGUGAAGCGAGCCACCUGGGAAGUACGGCCGCAAGGCUGAAACUUAAAGGAAUUGGCGGGGGAGC